This 450-nucleotide ribosomal RNA is filed under the name uncultured bacterium. Its description in RNAcentral is "partial 16S ribosomal RNA". It matches the Rfam family "Bacterial small subunit ribosomal RNA", at positions 338 to 795 of the family's 1533-position model. The record is from RNAcentral.
CCUACGGGGGGCAGCAGUGGGGAAUAUUGGACAAUGGGCGCAAGCCUGAUCCAGCAAUGCCGCGUGUGUGAAGAAGGCCUGCGGGUUGUAAAGCACUUUCAGUGGGGAGGAAGGCCUCGAUAUUAAUACUAUUGAGGAUUGACGUUACCCACAGAAGAAGCACCGGCUAACUCUGUGCCAGCAGCCGCGGUAAUACAGAGGGUGCAAGCGUUAAUCAGAAUUACUGUGGGUGGAGGGUUCGUACAGGGGUGAAAGCCCCGGGCUCAACCUGGGAAUUGCAUUUGAUACUGGGUAACUUGAGUAUGGUAGAGGGAAGUGGAAUUUCCAGUGUAGCGGUGAAAUGCGUAGAUAUUGGAAGGAACAUCAGUGGCGAAGGCGACUUCCUGGACCAUUACUGACACUGAGGCACGAAAGCGUGGGGAGCGAACAGGAUUAGAUACCCCAGUAGUC